This 253-nucleotide ribosomal RNA is filed under the name uncultured bacterium. RNAcentral's name for it is "partial 16S ribosomal RNA". It matches the Rfam family "Bacterial small subunit ribosomal RNA", at positions 524 to 776 of the family's 1533-position model. The record is from RNAcentral.
GACAGAGGGUGCAAACGUUGUUCGGAAUUACUGGGCGUAAAGCGCGUGUAGGCUGCUUCGCAAGUCGGAUGUGGAAGCCCUGGGCUCAACCCAGGAAGUGCAUUCGAAACUGCAAAGCUGGAGUCCUGGAGAGGAAGGCGGAAUUCUCGGUGUAGAGGUGAAAUGCGCAGAUAUCAGGAAGAACACCCGUGGCGAAGGCGGCUCUCUGGAACGCAACUGACGCUGAGACGCGAAAGCGUGGGGAGCAAACAGG